GGAGAGGUACCGAAGCGGCCAUAACGGCGCGGACUCGAAAUCCGUUGGGGGCGCAAGCCCCACGUGGGUUCGAAUCCCACCCUCUCCGCCA
RNAcentral lists this transfer RNA (91 nucleotides) under Sedimenticola sp. RNAcentral's name for it is "tRNA-Ser". It matches the Rfam family "tRNA". From Rfam's summary of the family: Transfer RNA (tRNA) molecules are approximately 80 nucleotides in length. The record is from RNAcentral. RNAcentral also lists the same sequence under 2 other names. Lineage: Bacteria; Pseudomonadati; Pseudomonadota; Gammaproteobacteria; Chromatiales; Sedimenticolaceae.